This 469-nucleotide ribosomal RNA is filed under the name uncultured bacterium. RNAcentral describes it as "partial 16S ribosomal RNA". It matches the Rfam family "Bacterial small subunit ribosomal RNA", at positions 28 to 507 of the family's 1533-position model. The record is from RNAcentral.
GAUGAACGCUGGCGGCGUGCUUAACACAUGCAAGUCGAACGGUGAACACGGAGCUUGCUCUGUGGGAUCAGUGGCGAACGGGUGAGUAACACGUGAGCAACCUGCCCCUGACUCUGGGAUAAGCGCUGGAAACGGCGUCUAAUACUGGAUAUGUGACGUGACCGCAUGGUCUGCGUUUGGAAAGAUUUUUCGGUUGGGGAUGGGCUCGCGGCCUAUCAGCUUGUUGGUGAGGUAAUGGCUCACCAAGGCGUCGACGGGUAGCCGGCCUGAGAGGGUGACCGGCCACACUGGGAUUGAGACACGGCCCAGACUCCUACGGGAGGCAGCAGUGGGGAAUAUUGCACAAUGGGCGAAAGCCUGAUGCAGCAACGCCGCGUGAGGGAUGACGGCCUUCGGGUUGUAAACCUUUUUUAGCAGGGAAGAAGCGAAAGUGACGGUACCUGCAGAAAAAGCGCCGGCUAACUACGUG